RNAcentral lists this unclassified non-coding RNA (414 nucleotides) under Hevea brasiliensis (rubber tree). The record is from RNAcentral. Lineage: Eukaryota; Viridiplantae; Streptophyta; Magnoliopsida; Malpighiales; Euphorbiaceae.
CUGUCACUUUCAAACUCUGAGACGCUGACUUUGGAAAAUUGUUCUGCUGUUGAUGACAUAUCAUGCAUUCGUCGUUCAUAUGUAGAUAGGCAAAAUGCAACCAUUUUAAUGGAAUUUCCAACAGGCGGUGCUAAGAAGUUGCGUAGUUUACUCAUGAAGGAUAUUGAGUUUGAUGGAUCUUGGAAACUGAAAAGCUUGCGUGCCCUACACUUCAUGAGUUCUUAUGAUAUCAAAGAGUUGCCAUCUUCAGUUGGUAAGUUGAAACUUUUGAGAUAUCUCAACAUCUCAUUCACUAAUAUUGAAGUGUUGCCUGAAUUCAUCAGCGAGCUCUACUAUUUGCAAACAUUAAGAUUUCUUAAGUGUCGGUCACUUACAGUAGUUCCUAGAAACAAAAUGUGCAAUCUGAUCAGCUUG